UACAGAGGGUGCAAGCGUUGUUCGGAAUCAUUGGGCGUAAAGGGCGUGUAGGCGGUCUGUUAAGUCAUGUGUGAAAUCCCUCGGCUCAACCGGGGAACGACGCAUGAAACUGACAAGCUAGAGUACCAAAGAGGGGGGUGGAAUUCCCGGUGUAGCGGUGAAAUUCGUAGAUAUCGGGAGGAACACCAGUGGCGAAGGCGGAGACCUGGGCCGAUACUGACGCUGAGAUGCGAAAGCGUGGGGAGCAAACAGG
RNAcentral lists this ribosomal RNA (253 nucleotides) under uncultured bacterium. RNAcentral's name for it is "partial 16S ribosomal RNA". It matches the Rfam family "Bacterial small subunit ribosomal RNA", at positions 524 to 776 of the family's 1533-position model. The record is from RNAcentral.